GAGUUUGAUCUGGCUCAGGAUGAACGCUGGCGGCGUGCUUAACACAUGCAAGUCGAACGAAGCACCUUGAUUUGAUUCUUCGGAUGAAGAUCUUGGUGACUGAGUGGCGGACGGGUGAGUAACGCGUGGGUAACCUGCCUCAUACAGGGGGAUAACAGUUAGAAAUGACUGCUAAUACCGCAUGAGACCACAACACCGCAUGAUGAAGGGGUCAAAGAUUUAUCGCUUUGAGAGGGGUUCGCGUCCCAUUAGGUAGUUGGAGGGGUAACGGCCCACCAAGCCAACGAUGGGUAGCCGAGCUGAGAGGCUGAUCGGCCACACUGGAACUGAGACACGGUCCAGACUCCUACGGGAGGCAGCAGUAGGGAAUAUUGGGCAAUGGGCGCAAGCCUGACCCAGCAACGCCGCGUGAGGGAAGAAGGUUUUCGGAUUGUAAACCUCUGUCCUAUGUGACGAAGGAAGUGACGGUAGCAUAGGAGGAAGCCCCGGCUAACUACGUGCCAGCAGCCGCGGUAAUUC
RNAcentral lists this ribosomal RNA (519 nucleotides) under uncultured bacterium. RNAcentral describes it as "bacterial SSU rRNA". It matches the Rfam family "Bacterial small subunit ribosomal RNA", at positions 9 to 526 of the family's 1533-position model. The record is from RNAcentral.